RNAcentral lists this transfer RNA (75 nucleotides) under Escherichia coli. RNAcentral's name for it is "tRNA-Gln(ttg)". The stretch from base 3 to 69 matches the Rfam family "tRNA". From Rfam's summary of the family: Transfer RNA (tRNA) molecules are approximately 80 nucleotides in length. Their secondary structure includes four short double-helical elements and three loops (D, anti-codon, and T loops). Further hydrogen bonds mediate the characteristic L-shaped molecular structure. tRNAs have two regions of fundamental functional importance: the anti-codon, which is responsible for specific mRNA codon recognition, and the 3' end, to which the tRNAs corresponding amino acid is attached (by aminoacyl-tRNA synthetases). tRNAs cope with the degeneracy of the genetic code in two manners: having more than one tRNA (with a specific anti-codon) for a particular amino acid; and 'wobble' base-pairing, i.e. permitting non-standard base-pairing at the 3rd anti-codon position. Lineage: Bacteria; Pseudomonadati; Pseudomonadota; Gammaproteobacteria; Enterobacterales; Enterobacteriaceae. The record is from RNAcentral. RNAcentral also lists the same sequence under 1 other name.
AUGGGUAUCGCCAAGCGGUAAGGCACCGGUUUUUGAUACCGGCAUUCCCUGGUUCGAAUCCAGGUACCCCAGCCA